AACUACAAUGGUAAUGCUGCUGGAUAUCCCAAUGAUAUUUCUGUUAUGAGACUUUCAUCUAAUGCCAACACCGGAAGUUCAGCUGUAAGCACCAUUGGUUUGGCUCCUUCUGGAUCAAGUUUUAAUGGGCAGACAUGUACCAUCAGCGGCUGGGGUAGAACAUCCGGUUCUAGCAGUUUGCCCAACAUCUUACAAUAUACAGAGAUGGGCAAGAUUUCCAAUUCGGAUUGUUCUAGUAGAUGGUCUGGUAUCAGCGGGGCUACCAUUAACAGUGAGCAUAUCUGUGUCUAUCAAUCAGGAAGAUCAGCCUGCAAUGGAGAUAGUGGUGGACCUAUGAUAUGUAAUGGUAUGUUAGCUGGUGUUACAUCAUGGGGAAUUUCAGGUUGUGGUGGAAAUUAUCCCAGUGUUUAUACUCGAGUAUCCCAGUUUGUUAGUUGGAUUAAUUC
This is a long non-coding RNA of Patella vulgata (common limpet), 446 nucleotides long. RefSeq lists it as uncharacterized. Lineage: Eukaryota; Metazoa; Mollusca; Gastropoda; Patellidae. The record is from RefSeq and is a predicted model, not a curated record. The transcript is spliced from 3 exons.